RNA transcript from Rhinopithecus roxellana (golden snub-nosed monkey), 2264 nucleotides. It is a transcript of the gene named serine/threonine-protein kinase SMG1-like, with no coding region annotated. The transcript has 11 exons. NCBI's taxonomy places the organism in Eukaryota, Metazoa, Chordata, Mammalia, Primates, Cercopithecidae. The record is from RefSeq and is a predicted model, not a curated record.
CACUCCUUCCUUAUUCCUGGUCCCCACGCCUCCCUCCCUCCAUCUUAAGCCCAUGGCAACCGCUGAUCUUUUUACUCUCUCCAUCGUUUUGCCUUUUCCAGAAUGCCAUGUAGUUGGAGUCAUAUAGUAUGUAGCCUUUUCAAUUGGCCUUUUUCACUUCGCAGUAUGCAUUUAAGGUUUCUCCAUGUCUUUUUGUAAUUUGAGAAGCUCAUUUUAAAAAAAUUUUAUUCUUUUAGAUUGUUGAACAAAUAAAUACAAAACUGCCAUCAUCAUUUGUAGAAAAACUGUUUAUACCAUCAUCUAAACUACUAUUCUUGCGUUAUCAUAAAGAAAAAGAGGUUGUUGCUGUAGCCCAUGCUGUUUAUCAAGCAGUGCUCAGCUUGAAGAAUAUUCCUGUUUUGGAGACUGCCUAGAAGUUAAUAUUGGGAGAAAUGACUUGUGCCCUAAACAACCUCCUACAUAGUCUGCAACUUCCUGAGGCCUGUUCUGAAAUAAAGCAUGAGGCUUUUAAGAAUCAUGUGUUCAAUGUAGACAAUGCAAAAUUUGUAGUUAUAUUUGACCUCAGUGCCCUGACUACAAUCGGAAAUGCCAAAAACUCACUAAUAGGGAUGUGGGCGCUAUCUCCAACUGUCUUUGCACUUCUGAGUAAGAAUCUGAUGAUUGUGCACAGUGACCUGGCUGUUCACUUCCCUGCCAUUCAGUAUGCUGUGCUCUACACAUUGUAUUCUCAUUGUACCAGGCAUGAUCACUUUAUCUCUAGUAGCCUCAGUUCUUCCUCUCCUUCUUUGUUUGAUGGAGCCGUGAUUAGCACUGUACGGCUACAAAGAAACAUUUCUCAAUUAUAUUAAAUCUUCUGGGAAUAUUACUUAAGAAAGAUAACCUUAACCAGGACACGAGGAAACUGUUGAUGACUUGGGCUGUGGAAGUAGCUGUUUUAAUGAAGAAGUCCGAAACAUAUGCACCUUUAUUCUCUCUUCCGUCUUUCCAUAAAUUUUGCAAAGGUUUAAUAGCUCUCGUUGAAGAUGUGAAUAUCUGUCUGCAGGCAUGCAGCAGUCUACAUGCUCUGUCCUCUUCCUUGCCAGAUGAUCUUUUACAGAGAUGUGUUGAUGUUUGCCGUGUUCAACUAGUACACAGUGGAACUCGUAUUCGACAAGCAUUUGGAAAACUGUUGAAAUCAAUUCCUUUAGAUGUUGUCCUAAGCAAUAACAAUCACACAGAAAUUCAAGAAAUUUCUUUAGCAUUAAGAAGUCACAAGAGUAAAGCACCAAGUAACACAUUCCAUCCCCAAGAUUUCUCUGAUGUUAUUAGUUUUAUUUUGUAUGGGAACUCUCAUAGAACAGGGAAGGACAAUUGGUUAGAAAGACUGUUCUAUAGCUGCCAGAGACUGGAUAAGCGUGACCAGUCAACAAUUCCACGCAAUCUCCUGAAGACAGAUGCUGUCCUUUGGCAGUGGGCCGUAUGGGAAGCUGCACAAUUCACUGUUCUUUCUAAGCUGAGAACCCCACUGGGCAGAGCUCAAGACACCUUCCAGACAAUUGAAGGUAUCAUUCGAAGUCUUGCAGCUCACACGUUAAACCCUGAUCAAGAUGUUAGUCAGUGGACAACUGCAGACAAUGAUGAAGGCCAUGGUAACAACCAGCUUAGGCUUGUUCUUCUUCUGCAGUAUCUGGAAAAUCUGGAGGAAUUAAUGUAUAAUGCACAUGAGGGAUGUGCUAAUGCAUUAACAUCACCUCCCAAGGUCAUUAGAACUUUUUUUUAUACCAAUCGCCAAACUUGUCAGGACUGGCUAACACGGACUCUCCAUCAUGAGGGUAGGAUUGUUGGCAGGCCAGCCUGCAGUGACAGUGAGACAUGGCUUUUGACUUGCUUACAAAGAUGAAAACAACCAAUCUAUCUCAGGUAAAGUGAUGUGUUUGGAAUUCAUUUUACGUCUGUUAAUAAGAAAACAUGGUUUAAUUCCUUUGCUGUGAUUUAAUCUAUGGGUAAAAUAAGUUAAAGCUUGGAUUCAUUUUCAAAGGUUUUGAUCCUGUAUUUUGUAAAAGCAACAACUGCCAGUUACCUAUUUUAUUCAUGUUGAAACAAUGUUAGAAUGUUAAAAUAAUGUUCAUGUUUUUGUUCAUGUUAAAACAUUGUUCAUGUUAGAACACGUUAAAACUAUAUUAUGUGCAAAGUUUAGAACUUUAAAGGUAAUUCUAAAAAUAUGUUUGUGGGAGAAAUCUUUUUUUUUUUUGGAGACACACUUUCACUCUGUCGCCCAGACUGGA